AAGCAAGGAAGUUGACUUCUACAAUUAAUUAGGGGCAUAAAUCGAAGACGUUGGAUUACCCAUUAUUGUUGCUCAAAGUCAUGGGCCAACUAUGGAGCCUAGAGGAUGUUUCAAGUGUACUUGGCCCAACUAUCAAAUAGAAUCCAACAUAAGAAAGGCCUAAGACCAACCAAAGGCCCAACAAAGCCUAAUUUGUAGAAGACUUUUCUUUGUUUUGUAUUUUUAUGAGUGCUUUACCACCUAAAGUCUUUUGUAUUCUUAUGAGUAUUCCACCACCUAAAGUCUUUUGUUUUUUUUGUCUUUUACCUAAUUUUUUUCCAUUAGUUAGGUGGAUGUUUUGUGAGUGCCCAUUAGAUAUAAUUAUGUUUAGUUGAAUAAUUGUGUGGUUUGUAUUGCAUCUUGUGGGUUAUAAAUAGCUCACUUUGGUGCA
Diospyros lotus (date-plum) is the source of this 430-nucleotide long non-coding RNA. RefSeq lists it as uncharacterized. Lineage: Eukaryota; Viridiplantae; Streptophyta; Magnoliopsida; Ericales; Ebenaceae. The record is from RefSeq and is a predicted model, not a curated record. The transcript is spliced from 2 exons.